CCAGACUCCUACGGGAGGCGGCAGUGGGGAAUAUUGCACAAUGGGGGAAACCCUGAUGCAGCGACGCCGCGUGAAGGAAGAAGUAUUUCGGUAUGUAAACUUCUAUCAGCAGGGAAGAAAAUGACGGUACCUGGCUAAGAAGCCCCGGCUAACUACGUGCCAGCAGCCGCGGUAAUACGUAGGGGGCAAGCGUUAUCCGGAUUUACUGGGUGUAAAGCGCUCGUAGGCGGUAUGUCAAGUCAAGGGUGAAAUCCCCGCGCUCAACGUGGGAACUGCCUUUGAAACUGGCAAACUGGAGUGUGUGAGAGGAUAGUGGAAUUCCAGGUGUAGGAGUGAAAUCCGUAGAUAUCUGGAGGAACAUCAGUGGCGAAGGCGACUAUCUGGCACAUAACUGACGCUGAGGAGCGAAAGCGUGGGUAGCAAACAGGAUUAGAUACCCUUGUAA
This 445-nucleotide ribosomal RNA is filed under the name uncultured bacterium. Its description in RNAcentral is "partial 16S ribosomal RNA". It matches the Rfam family "Bacterial small subunit ribosomal RNA", at positions 331 to 793 of the family's 1533-position model. The record is from RNAcentral.